Molecule: ribosomal RNA, 499 nt
Filed under: uncultured bacterium
Lineage: Bacteria
Description: partial 16S ribosomal RNA
Rfam family: Bacterial small subunit ribosomal RNA
Source: RNAcentral
AUUGAACGCUGGCGGAAUGCUUUACACAUGCAAGUCGAACGGCAGCACGGACUUCGGUCUGGUGGCGAGUGGCGCACGGGUGAGUAAUGUAUCGGAACGUGCCCAGUCGUGGGGGAUAACGUAGUGAAAAUUACGCUAAUACCGCAUACGAUCUAUGGAUGAAAGCGGGGGAUCGCAAGACCUCGGCGGAUUGCAGCGGCCGAUAUCAGAUUAAGUAGUUGGUGGGGUAAAGGCCCACAAAGCCAACGAUCUGUAGCUGGUCUGAGAGGACGACCAGCCACACUGGAACUGAGACACGGUCCAGACUCCUACGGGAGGCAGCAGUGGGGAAUUUUGGACAAUGGGCGAAAGCCUGAUCCAGCCAUUCCGCGUGCAGGAUGAAGGCUCUCGGGUUGUAAACUGCUUUGUACAGAACGAAAAGGUUUCUACUAAUACUAGGAGCUCAUGACGGUACUGUAAGAAUAAGCACCGGCUAACUACGUGCCAGCCGCCGCGGUAA